This is a long non-coding RNA of Hevea brasiliensis (rubber tree), 501 nucleotides long. RefSeq lists it as uncharacterized. The record is from RefSeq and is a predicted model, not a curated record. The transcript has 2 exons. NCBI's taxonomy places the organism in Eukaryota, Viridiplantae, Streptophyta, Magnoliopsida, Malpighiales, Euphorbiaceae.
GACCCCAGUAAUUCUUUUGGCAUCUUUCACAAUUUAUCUAUCUCAUAUCAAUAAUUAUAUUCUUUGAAUAAUAUUUGCCUUUGUCUUAUCUUGUACUUCUUGUUCAAUCUAGUACAAUUUUUUUCAAUCUUGUAUAUCAAAGCCCCAGCAUCCAGUACAUCCUUUCCUCUCUUUAUUUGCUUAACUUCUCUUUUCCUCCAUUUUGGUUUGCUUUUUUGAAAAUGUCUUUCUACUUCUGGCUAUUAGCUUCAUUUGUUCACUACAGUUUGUUGUAAUCAUUCAUUUUUAUUUUAUUUUCCUUUGAUAUUAUUGCAGAAUAGAGAAUAUCAACGAGGAAGAACUGUUGAAGGGUUCAACAUGCAACAAAUGUUCACUGUACUUUGCAAAAUGCUUUUAUCCCAAGCUCUUGUUCUGUUGGCAUACAAACACAAUACCUUUUUUAGACUCUGUUUAUUUUGUGAAAAAUAAUUUAUAUAUGAAAAAUAUUUUUCAUGGAAAAUA